This is a non-coding RNA of Danionella cerebrum, 72 nucleotides long. NCBI's taxonomy places the organism in Eukaryota, Metazoa, Chordata, Actinopteri, Cypriniformes, Danionidae. The record is from the annotation of a GenBank genome assembly.
GGCUUGUUGGUUUUGGGGUAUGAUUCUCACUUUGGGUGUAAGAGGUCCCAGGUUCAAAUCGUGGACAAGCCC